Molecule: ribosomal RNA, 492 nt
Filed under: uncultured bacterium
Lineage: Bacteria
Description: partial 16S ribosomal RNA
Rfam family: Bacterial small subunit ribosomal RNA
Source: RNAcentral
AGUGAACGCUGGCGGUAGGCCUAACACAUGCAAGUCGAACGGCAGCACAGUAAGAGCUUGCUCUUACGGGUGGCGAGUGGCGGACGGGUGAGGAAUACAUCGGAAUCUGCUUUUUCGUGGGGGAUAACGUAGGGAAACUUACGCUAAUACCGCAUACGACCUACGGGUGAAAGCAGGGGAUCUUCGGACCUUGCGCGAUUGAAUGAGCCGAUGUCGGAUUAGCUAGUUGGCGGGGUAAAGGCCCACCAAGGCGACGAUCCAUAGCUGGUCUGAGAGGAUGAUCAGCCACACUGGAACUGAGACACGGUCCAGACUCCUACGGGAGGCAGCAGUGGGGAAUAUUGGACAAUGGGCGCAAGCCUGAUCCAGCCAUACCGCGUGGGUGAAGAAGGCCUUCGGGUUGUAAAGCCCUUUUGUUGGGAAAGAAAAGCAGCAGGUUAAUACCCCGCUGUUCUGACGGUACCCAAAGAAUAAGCACCGGCUAACUUCGUG